Molecule: long non-coding RNA, 1303 nt
Filed under: Helianthus annuus (common sunflower)
Lineage: Eukaryota; Viridiplantae; Streptophyta; Magnoliopsida; Asterales; Asteraceae
Description: sRNA HanXRQr2_Chr13g0596991
Source: RNAcentral
GAAAGGGUGAAACCCUACCUGUUCAAUCAAGGUCAAAAUUCAGCAAAUUAAUGGUGGUUCUUGACACAAAUCGAAUGCAUGAGACUGGAUACAACUUAAUCUAAGUAUAUUGAUCAUAAGGAAUCACAUUAGCAAGGACUCGAAAAUGGAAGGUUAACGGGUCAAGCAGAGGCGAGGAAACAAGCGUGAACACUAACGCUCGAGGUAAGUGACUUUCGAUUCACUUCUUAGUAUACAUAUAGAGUUUUCUUGUUAUGGUUGAAUGGGAUGAUUGAUGUAUAUAAAAUGGCCGACAAGUAGGUAUGUAUGAAUGCAUUUAGGAAAAUUACGUAAGUACAUGCACGUGUGAGCUAAGGUAUGCACGGGUGUAGUUAUGAUUCAUUUUAUGAAUGUAUGUAAGUAUGGAGUUAUGUAUGCAUGUAUGUAUAUAUGUAGGUAUUGGUGUAUGUAUGUACGUAAGUAGUUAUGUAUGAGCAUGAGCAUUAUGUAUUUGAAUAUGAAAGUACAUACGUGUGUAGGUACGAACGUAUAUAUAUAUGUGGAUGCAAGUAAGUAUGUAUGUAUGUAUGUGAGUAGGUAUGUGUGUAUGUAGUUAUGUAUGUAUGUAUGUAAAUACAUAUGCGAAGAUGUAAUCAUGUAUGUAUGUAAUUAGAUGCGUGGGUAUGCAAGUAAAGGUAUGUAUGUAUGUAGAUGUGUAUUAUGCGUAUGCGAAGAUACGUAGGUAUAUAUGAAUGUAUGUAGAGAAGUAGUAAUGCAUGCGCGAAUGUAGAUAUGGGGUUGGUAUAGAAGAAGGUACGUAUGAGUAUAUGUAGGUAUGUAGAAAUAUAGGAGCACAUGUACGUAUGUAGACGCAUAUGUAUACAUGUAAACAUGUACAUGUGCAUGAUUUAGAUACGUAGAAUUUUAACGUUACUAAUUAUGCGUUUGAGGUUGGUAUGUGAUGCAGGAACAAGUACACCGGAUUCUUACGAAACUUAAACCGAACCCGGAAUAAGAGGAUGAGAAAGAAUAAUUGGAUGAAUUAAUGUUAAAUUGACGAACGUUAUUCAAUCUUUAAUUACAUGAUAUUAAUGUUAUAUGAUGUGUUACACGGACUUCUUCUGCUGCUAUGGAAGUGAAGCGGACGUAGAUCGAGUCAAGAGCAAGGAUUGUACGGAUAGAUUGGUCACAUAGUUGAAGUAUAUAACGUUUAGAAAUCUAAAUUUUAGUAUGAAUGUUGUAAAUUCUUUUAUAGUACGUUUAACAUUUUUAGGAUUUGGAUCCUUCGUGAAAGAAAUGUUGUUAAUACGGAAGAAAAUUUUAA